This 441-nucleotide ribosomal RNA is filed under the name uncultured bacterium. RNAcentral's name for it is "partial 16S ribosomal RNA". It matches the Rfam family "Bacterial small subunit ribosomal RNA", at positions 338 to 795 of the family's 1533-position model. The record is from RNAcentral.
CCUACGGGAGGCUGCAGUGGGGGAUAUUGCACAAUGGGGGGAACCCUGAUGCAGCGACGCCGCGUGGGUGAAGGAGUGCUUCGGCGUGGAAAACCCUAUCGGCAGGGAAGAAGCAAGACGGUACCUGACUGAGAAGCCCCGUCUAACUACGUGCCAGCAGCCGCGGUAAUCCGUAGGGAGCGAGCGUUAUCCGGAUUCACUGGGGGUAAAGGGAGCGUAGACGGCCAUGCAAGCCAGGGGUGAAAGCCCGCGGCCUAACCGCGGAACUGCAUUUGAAACUGUCAGUCUUGAGUACCGGAGAGGUCAUCGGAAUGCCUGGUGUAGCGGUGAAAUGCGUAGAUAUAAGGAAGAACACCAGUGGCGAAGGCGGAUGACCGGCCGGCAACUGACGGUGAGGCGCGAAAGCGUGGGGAGCGAACAGGAUUAGAUACCCGAGUAGUC